RNAcentral lists this ribosomal RNA (465 nucleotides) under Vreelandella stevensii. RNAcentral's name for it is "partial 16S ribosomal RNA". It matches the Rfam family "Bacterial small subunit ribosomal RNA", at positions 338 to 795 of the family's 1533-position model. The record is from RNAcentral. Lineage: Bacteria; Pseudomonadati; Pseudomonadota; Gammaproteobacteria; Oceanospirillales; Halomonadaceae.
CCUACGGGAGGCAGCAGUGGGGAAUAUUGGACAAUGGGGGGAACCCUGAUCCAGCCAUGCCGCGUGUGUGAAGAAGGCCCUCGGGUUGUAAAGCACUUUCAGUGAGGAAGAACGCCUGGUGGUUAAUACCCAUCAGGAAAGACAUCACUCACAGAAGAAGCACCGGCUAACUCCGUGCCAGCAGCCGCGGUAAUACGGAGGGUGCGAGCGUUAAUCGGAAUUACUGGGCGUAAAGCGCGCGUAGGUGGCUUGAUAAGCCGGUUGUGAAAGCCCCGGGCUCAACCUGGGAACGGCAUCCGGAACUGUCACGCUAGAGUGCAGGAGAGGAAGGUAGAAUUCCCGGUGUAGCGGUGAAAUGCGUAGAGAUCGGGAGGAAUACCAGUGGCGAAGGCGGCCUUCUGGACUGACACUGACACUGAGGUGCGAAAGCGUGGGUAGCAAACAGGAUUAGAUACCCCAGUAGUC